UGGGGAAUAUUGGGCAAUGGGCGAAAGCCUGACCCAGCGACGCCGCGUGGACGAUGAAGGCCUUCGGGUUGUAAAGUCCUGUCAUGCGGAAAGAACAGCCUUAUGGUGAAUACCCAUGAGGUUUGACGGUACCGCAGGAGGAAGCACCGGCUAACUCCGUGCCAGUAGCCGCGGUAAUACGUAGGGGGCGAGCGUUAUUCGGAAUUACUGGGUGUAAAGGGUAUGUAGGCGGCCCUUCAAGUCGCGUGUCAAAGUCCAGUGCUCAACGCUGGGUGUGCACGCGAUACUGACGGGCUUGAGGGCUGGAGAGGUGAGCGGAAUUCCCGGUGUAGUGGUAAAAUACGUAGAGAUCGGGAGGAACACCAGCGGCGCAGGCGGCUCACUAGACAGUUUCUGACGCUAAGAUACGAAAGCGUGGGGAGCAAACA
Molecule: ribosomal RNA, 428 nt
Filed under: uncultured prokaryote
Description: bacterial SSU rRNA
Rfam family: Bacterial small subunit ribosomal RNA
Source: RNAcentral